RNAcentral lists this ribosomal RNA (355 nucleotides) under uncultured bacterium. Its description in RNAcentral is "partial 16S ribosomal RNA". It matches the Rfam family "Bacterial small subunit ribosomal RNA", at positions 28 to 368 of the family's 1533-position model. The record is from RNAcentral.
GACGAACGCUGGCGGCGUGCUUAACACAUGCAAGUCAAGGGGGUUUUGGCCGCGAGGCUGGAGCAACCGGCGAACGGGUGCGUAACACGUGAGCGACCGACCCUCCGUGGGGGGGGAUAGCCGGCCCAACGGCCGGGUAAUACCGCAUACGCUCGGGCAGUUGCAUGAGUGCCCGAGGACAGCGUGGGGGGGCAACCCUUUGGCGCCAGAGGACGGGCUCGCGGCCUAUCAGCUUGUUGGCGGGGAACGGCCCACCAAGGCGACGACGGGUAGCUGGUCUGAGAGGAUGGCCAGCCACAUUGGGACUGAGAGACGGCCCAGACUCCUACGGGAGGCAGCAGGUGGGAAUAUUGCG